RNAcentral lists this transfer RNA (74 nucleotides) under Chlamydia trachomatis. Its description in RNAcentral is "tRNA-Trp(cca)". It matches the Rfam family "tRNA". From Rfam's summary of the family: Transfer RNA (tRNA) molecules are approximately 80 nucleotides in length. The record is from RNAcentral. Lineage: Bacteria; Pseudomonadati; Chlamydiota; Chlamydiia; Chlamydiales; Chlamydiaceae. RNAcentral also lists the same sequence under 10 other names.
AGGGGUAUAGUUCAAUGGUAGAACAGCGGUCUCCAAAACCGUUGAUGUGGGUUCAACUCCUGCUACCCCUGCCA